GAUGGUAAAUUCUUUAAUUAUAGGCUGACAGAGAUACAUAAAUAGAGGCGCUCUGCACGCCACCUCACUGUUCAAAGCUGCUCCAAUCUACAGUGCCAGCACAGGAUUCUGCAGGCAAAUGACUGAGAAGUUAUAUGCCUUCCAGAAAAGUUCAGAAUUUGCAAAUGCUGCUUUCUGGGACCUGAACGACAGGAAUGCGAUUGGCGCAGCAUCCCAACCAAUCAGAUGAAACAUCAUCUGAGUCCAAGCAGAAAACAUGAGAAUAUGUUUAGAAAUCCACUUUUGCUGAAGGAAAAGUCCAGGCUGAAGGUAAGAAAUCCUGGCAGCAACAUUCUCACAAACAUAUUAACCAACAGACAAUUCUUAUGACAUAUAGUUCCAUCUUCUCAGCACAUUGAUGGCUCCCGACGGCUCCCUUUUCCUGGUGUCCUGCAACGACGCACAGCUAGAUCCUAUUGAGCCUCUUUUUCUCUACAGUAGCUUAUACUGGGUAUACAGUUAAUGUAUAACACACUUCAUGGAAUAUCACUUAUCAGAGAGUCAGUCUCUUGUUAAUUCAGUGGAUUGCUUUACUGAGAAAAGCUACUUUCAGAGCUGUGCGGGACAUCACCAGCGGGGUCAAUUAAUCUAUAGAUAAACACCAAGCGACCUGCAAGCUUUUUAGAAACUAACCUUGGUUACUCUUCAUGUUAAGCUAUUACAAUUUUAUGCACAUAUUUGCCUGAAAUGUUACAGUUAGAUUGAGCAAUAGAGAAAGAUAAUCAAAAUCUCAGUGUUAGAGCAACAGGACUGAUAAACCAGUUAGAACGAUUGCAAACGCUGUACACAUGUAAGAAAGGGGUGCAAAGGGGACAUUUGUAGCUGGAUGUUCUAAGGUUGGACAACAGUAAAAAUGUCCAAACGGUCUCUUAAAUCUUGUUUUUCCUCUUAUUACUUGUAUCUUUUUAUCUCUCUCACAUAAUUGUUCUGAAUUUUCCAAUGCUCCGUUUAAUUACAUGGCACUGAUCCCUGUCCCUGCGUUUACCAUGCCUAAAGACAGAAGGCGAGAGGAGCGUUUUCAGCCGUGCUAACAAACUAAUCUCAGAAAACGUUGAAAAAAGACACUUUUGGGGAUGCAAGGAAGCAUACAGGCAUUGUGCACUGUAGCCCAUAGGUGAGUCAUUGCGCUCUGAAGCUGGUGCAACACUCCUGCUUCCCCGCCUCAUUUCUCCACAAUCAGCCGACAAAAGCAUCUUGUGUUGGUAUAGGCAUGGUAAAUAGAAACAGUACACGCAGACGCAGCAAUGGAGGAAGCAAUACGUGUGCAAGGGGUGGAGAACAACCAGGUUUGUAAGGGGAGAUGUGAAGGUAGAAUGACAGCCACGUUUUAAUGCAACAAGACAGCAUGCAACCUAAGAGAAACGAGUGCUGCUUUAAACUACUAAAGAAAUCACUCAAACCAGACGGCUGGCUUUUGACGAAAAGCCUGAAUGAUAAUAAA
Long non-coding RNA from Acipenser ruthenus (sterlet), 1480 nucleotides. RefSeq lists it as uncharacterized. Lineage: Eukaryota; Metazoa; Chordata; Actinopteri; Acipenseriformes; Acipenseridae. The transcript has 3 exons. The record is from RefSeq and is a predicted model, not a curated record.